This is a non-coding RNA of Podarcis lilfordi (Lilford's wall lizard), 267 nucleotides long. The record is from the annotation of a GenBank genome assembly. Lineage: Eukaryota; Metazoa; Chordata; Lepidosauria; Squamata; Lacertidae.
GAUGAGUGGGGUACAAAUAACAACAACAACAACAACAACAACAACAACAACAACAACAACAUCCCUAUUUUCAUCAGAGAAAUGCUGGAAGGUAUGCAUUCAGGAGGUCCAAGUUUAAAUCACUGGCAUCUCCUGGUAGGGCUGGCAGAGACCCCAGUGCUGCCUGUCAGUAGGGAAGUUUUUAAUGUUUGAUGUUUUAUGGUGUUGUUACUAUUCUGGGGAGCUGUCCAGAAUGUCUGGGGAAACCCAGUGAGAUGGGUGGAGUAU